GCCCCCACUCCCACUCCCUCCAGCCUCAGCACCGCCAAGAACCAGCCCAGCCCCUCGCCGGGCACCAGUAGCAAACAGAAGUCAUCGGCUGAUGUUGGAAGCUGCAGCUGCGCGGCUCGUGGGAGGGUGGGGGAGCCCAGCCCAUCUGAAUGCAGCAGCGGCUCGUCCUGCGGCCAAGGCGAGGCAGCCAGGAAGAGGAGGGGAGCGCGCUAUGGCUUUGGUGGGAAUUCCGGGGAGCUCCUUCUCUGCCCGGCUGGGGCAGCGGCUCGGAGGAGGAGGAGGCUGCGGUGUGUUGUUUGGUGGAGUUUGCAGCCGGAGACACGCUUGACUAGCUACUAGCAGCAGCAGCACAUGGCAGGAGCGAGAGCAGCGUUGGGAGUCCUUGCAGCAAACGGGUGGGCUUUAUCGUGCAUCCUCCAGCCCAGUGUGCUAGGUGGGAGCCUCACAGCAGGGGCAACAAGACAGAGCACAUUCCAUCCAGGACCCUUCCCCUGUGCGCCCCCUUUAAGAUACCUACAAAGCGCUGGCACCGGACAAAUCCAAGCCAGAGCCAGGCGGUGAGGUUCAGCUGGCUCUUGGGUAGCCCCGUGGGAGGAGGAGGAGACAAUCCUUUGACAUCCAGCCAAAGAUCGGUGGGCCCCACUCAACUUCAGGAAGGAGAGGCUGGAUCUUGAGCUAAAAUCACAAUAUUUGUGUUAGACUCUCCCACAGAGGGGUUGAAAACGAUCGGAGUCCCUCCAUGCACGAGGUUAACCCUGAGUUGUGCCCUUUCUUUGACAGUGGAGACCAACCCUUUGUUGGCACGGAACAAAGAAAUGGGGGUGAAUAGGGAAGGGGACCAGCUGGCUUCCUGAAGCCUUUAAACUUCCAGGGCGUGGGUGUCUCAGCAAUCUAGAUCUGCAUGGCGGAUUUCAAUCAUGAGAGGCCUGGCUCUGCCAGUGGCUGUAUCAGAACCCCCACUCCCUCCAUCAGGGGUACAGGAACAAUCCGUAUAGUGGGGGUACUGAGAGCUAUUGAACCAAACUGUAAACCCUGAUGGUUGAACGCUCUUCAAGCCAGAGGGUGUGGCAGCAUCCCUAGUUCCUGCAAGCCUAGUUCCUGCACCUAUGCCCUCCAUUGUCAGGAGAGAGGUUCCCAAUUCAAACCUGAGCCAAGCUGGAAAUUGUUCAUUUGGCCCCAUCUCUAUUGUUGAAUGAUUCCCCUCUGUGGCUGCCCUGCUGAAGCUGCCCUGGUUACUGUGCCCGGGGUUAGACCUGGGUAAGUGAUAACAUGAAAUCCCUGUUGUAGUAAACCAAAGUUUAAUGAAGAGUGGGGCGGCCAAACUUUCUCCUCCUGCAAACUGCAGUUCUGGCUAGUAACAGAACCUGAAUUUUGUUUUUUAAAAUCAAUUUCAGAAGCAUUCAUAAAUGCCCCAAUCUUUGUCCAACACUGAACAAGAAGAAAGAAAAACCAAUAGUGUGGCACCUCUUUAAGUUUCUUUUGUUUGUCUGGGGGGAAAGCCCCUAAAAUGAGGUUUAGUUUUAAGAAACUAGUUUAAAGUAGCGCCGCAAGUUUUCAAAGAGUUAGGCCAUUGACUUCCUUCCUUUUCCCUGAUCUCAAAUCCCCUGCAGUUUGUGGUGUGUUGAAUAGGAGGAGAGGAGGUUGCUGUGAGGGAAGACAUGGAGGGAAUGAUAAUGAGUCUGUUCAGUCAGACUUGAAUUUAACAUGAGUGCAGUGAUGACACCAGAAGCAGGGAAUAUUUCCUGGGAAAGUGAAUCCCGCUGCAUUCUGAAGAGGCUUUGGGAUUCCUGUUGACAGUACUUCAGCAAACUGAAUGGAAACAAAACUCAGAUUAGGGUUUACAUCUGUGCUGUACAAACGUGUUACAAUGACUUUGACCAUGAAUAAGAAACCUUUGAUGAUUCAGGUAUGUCCUUGCUUAGGCAGGCUGUUGAGAAGAAUUCGAAACCCAGUGUCCACACAUCACUAAAGGACUAAUGAUGCCAUGCAAAAGUUUUUAAAUGAACUUUUCUGCUGUUACCUUUUACUCCCGAGCGCUCAUGAAAGAUGCCAUCUUGACACCCCUGGAGAUUAAAGCCUUUUUUUUCCCCCACAGAAGUUAUAGUAUGAAUAGCAACCCAGAAAGCUUCACCCCCACACCUGUGAACUAGAAGUACCACCUUUAGCUAUCUCAGUCUCCAUAGCCCCUUUACUAUUUCACCUUUCUGUUAUGACUGCCAGCAGUUGCUGUAGUGGAUUCUGUGCUGUGGACAUCUGUCUCUGACAACUGGACCGAGAUCACCAAACUCAUUUUACAGAGGCUACUGGAAAACCAACCACUUUCAAUUGCUGCCAGCCGGCUCUGAAUUUAAAUCUGUAGCCUAGAGGUGAACAUUUCAUGUACUCCAUUACCAAACUCCUGAGACAUCUGGACCCUGAUUGUCAGUGUUAUCUUAUGAAGAGGGAUUUUCAUAUGUUCAUAUUCACGUUUUAGUAAAACUGACCUCAGGGAAGUGCCUAUAUAUUUCUGACUUACAGUAUCUUACAAAUUCUAAUUUUAUAAUACCACAUUCCUGUCUCCUGACUCUCACUGUUGUAAAUGCACUUCCCAAACAGCAUCUGCAAACUCUGUAUAAACAUUUGUCUUGCUAUCAGCCAUAUGGUUUAAGAGACUUGUGGCAAAUCAAUAAGGUUAAUUUAAAAAUACAAUCAGAUACUGAACCACAUGAUGUCAUAUAACUUCUUUGCAAUUAGUUACCAUGUUAUGAGCAGACAAAUCUUGCUCAAUUAUUUCAAUGCCUCAGAACUGUGAUUUCUACUUAGGGGACCAAAUUGAUACCUGGAUGUAACUUCACUAAAAUUAAGGGGGUUACACCACAGAUGAAUUUAGCACAAUGAAAUCACCUAUCACAGCCUAUGCAGCUGUUGCAUAGGAACUUAACAGUCAUCAUAUGCAAAUAUGAGACUUUUCACCCUUUUAGUGAUAUGGAUUUCUAAGGAAUGAGCAAACUUGUGUCUUGAAGCAUAGUGCCUCAAGCUGUUGCACCUCUUAUAAAUGCAGCAGUCUUAGUACUGCUUACUGCCUACAUUGUCUUUUAAAAAUUCCAAGUAGUGCAGGAUCCAUCUUACUACUUGCAUAAGAGUAUGUAGGAUUGGGCCCCAUAGCAGUAGCUUAACAAGUUGGUUGGGUUUAAAAUUGUAUUUUCAUUUAAGACCUAAUAGGAAGAGGUGCUGAGUGCUCUUAACUUCCAUUAGAGUCAGUGGGAGUUGACACUCAAUGCCUUACAGGGUUGGCAUUACCAUCCCAAGACAAAGGGCAACAAGGUUUGUUUUUAAAAUGUAUUAACAGGAGGAAAAAAUGCUAAGUGUCAUUUUACUAUUCCUUAACAAUAUGGCAUGAGUGAUUUAGACACUGUUGUGAUGUAACAUAUGGAAAUUUGCAGUGGUGCAGGUGAAUAAAUAUUGCUUAUUCAUA
Long non-coding RNA from Mauremys reevesii (Reeves's turtle), 3454 nucleotides. RefSeq lists it as uncharacterized. NCBI's taxonomy places the organism in Eukaryota, Metazoa, Chordata, Testudines, Geoemydidae. The record is from RefSeq and is a predicted model, not a curated record. The transcript is spliced from 3 exons.